CUGCUGCUUUAUCUGCGAGGGCUGCGAUCCCGUGCGUGGCGGGAGGGGGGAAAGGAGAAGAGAGGGAAGAGAAGAAGAAAGACCGAUUUCUGCCCCCGGCACAGGCGCUCGAAUGGCCGGCGGGCGGAGGCGCCCGGAGCCGGGACCGGCGGCUCCUCGGCGCAUCCCCGGUGCCUCCGCAGCCCCUCAGCCGCAAUGGAAAUGUACUGUCUCCUGCUUGAUCUUGGAUUAGAUUCCAUACUGAAAAAAACAUUUCAAGACUGAUGAAGAAUAAAAGUUUACAUGGAUUUAUUUGUCUAUAAUACAAAAAAGAGAGUCCAGCAGGAAGUGACAAUCAACGCAGUGCUUGCUUGAAAGG
This is a long non-coding RNA of Cuculus canorus (common cuckoo), 358 nucleotides long. RefSeq lists it as uncharacterized. Lineage: Eukaryota; Metazoa; Chordata; Aves; Cuculiformes; Cuculidae. The record is from RefSeq and is a predicted model, not a curated record. The transcript has 4 exons.